This is a long non-coding RNA of Oryzias melastigma (Indian medaka), 1292 nucleotides long. RefSeq lists it as uncharacterized. NCBI's taxonomy places the organism in Eukaryota, Metazoa, Chordata, Actinopteri, Beloniformes, Adrianichthyidae. The transcript is spliced from 3 exons. The record is from RefSeq and is a predicted model, not a curated record.
ACUGAAAAACUCUGGUGCCUAAAGGGUUAUAAAUAAACAUACAAUUCAUGAAAUACAUUAGAAAUACAUAAAUUGAAAAAGAGAACCUGCCUUCCAGAUCUAACCAGGACACUGCAAGGUUCUGUGAGUAUUGGACCAAGCCUGGCAGCUGGGGGAGACUCUAGCGGCCCUACCUAUAGUAUGUUUGUGAUGUCAGUAACGGUGUCGGUAGGUCCGCGCUCCCACCCGUGCCACGUAGCACACCACCAGGCUUGAUCCAACAGUACGAUUAUCGCCGACUGGUAUUUAUACCCCACCUAUAAACACUACCUGUAGACUAAUGGUUUUAACCCCAAUUUUUUUUUUUUUUUUGCAAAUUUGAAUUAUACACUAUAUGGUUGAUACUUGUAAAUAAAAUAUGAAGAAAAACAAAUGUAAUUUUAAACGUUUUUUCCUUUAAAAAAGAAACAUUUUGAGCCGCAGUGCAUGCUGGGAAACGUGACGGAAUCUCGAUAGGUUCGCGCAUGCGGGGUAAGCGGUGCAACCGAUUUGCUUCCGCAUACAGAAAAUGCCCAACGCGAUGAGCUAAGCCUCGUUUGGCUGACCAAGAUGGCGGCUUGAGCGGACGUUAGUUUUCAACCUGUUGCGCCAAAAUUGUUUUAAAUGUUGUGGAAACGGUCUGAUUAAAUGCUACUUUUGAAAUGAUUACUGUUAUAGACCAAAAUGGAAACAAAAUCAGCUGUUCAAUGCUAUCUCUAAGGAGAGCAAAGCCAUGGCUAGCAGCAGCAGUGCUGUUAGCGGUGUUAGCAUGACUAGACCCAGAGGGCUAAUGCUGAACAAGACACGGUCAUCCCGGGCGAAGAAGAGUCUCCACUCCUGCCUUUUUCUACUGAAGGGACUCCAUGUAAAGAACAGCUUCCAAAAAAGCGCAACUUGCAACACCUCAAGUCUAUGCCGAGGACCUGUGUGAGGCGGAGCGGGAAAGCAGAGCAGCGCCGAGGCUUUGAUCCAAGCAGCAAGAAGAGAGGGGGAGUCGCCUACUACGCGGAUGGGCGUGGCUACAUCAAUGCCUAUGGCUUGUCCUGAUUGGUCCAGCAGCUCCGAGAAGGGAAUGAGGUAAUUGAAGAGGAGGAGCCACUCACCCUGAAUGUCACAAGAUGAAUGAUGACAGGAUACAAGUCAGACCUCAGUUUGACAUAAACUCAGAAAGUAUCUUAUAUUUUUAUAGAAAUAAACUAGAAAAAUAGUGAAUUUACAGAAAAAAUAAAAGGGACAGAAACAUUUUAGAGGAAAACAGGAAGCGGCACCUCUUC